Molecule: ribosomal RNA, 505 nt
Filed under: uncultured bacterium
Lineage: Bacteria
Description: partial 16S ribosomal RNA
Rfam family: Bacterial small subunit ribosomal RNA
Source: RNAcentral
GACGAACGCUGGCGGCGUGCCUAAUACAUGCAAGUAGAACGCACAGUUUAUGCCGUAGCUUGCUACACCAUAGACUGUGAGUUGCGAACGGGUGAGUAACGCGUAGGUAACCUGCCUGGUAGCGGGGGAUAACUAUUGGAAACGAUAGCUAAUACCGCAUAAUAUUAAUUAUUGCAUGAUAAUUGAUUGAAAGAUGCAACUGCAUCACUACCAGAUGGACCUGCGUUGUAUUAGCUAGUAGGUGAGGUAACGGCUCACCUAGGCGACGAUACAUAGCCGACCUGAGAGGGUGAUCGGCCACACUGGGACUGAGACACGGCCCAGACUCCUACGGGAGGCAGCAGUAGGGAAUCUUCGGCAAUGGACGAAAGUCUGACCGAGCAACGCCGCGUGAGUGAAGAAGGUUUUCGGAUCGUAAAGCUCGGUUGUAAGAGAAGAACGGGUGUGAGAGUGGAAAGUUCACACUGUGACGGUAUCUUACCAGAAAGGGACGGCUAACUACGUG